GAUGAACGCUGGCGGCGUGCCUAAUACAUGCAAGUCGAGCGAACGGACGAGAAGCUUGCUUCUCUGAUGUUAGCGGCGGACGGGUGAGUAACACGUGGAUAACCUACCUAUAAGACUGGGAUAACUUCGGGAAACCGGAGCUAAUACCGGAUGAUAUUUUGAACCGCAUGGUUCAAAAGUGAAAGACGGUCUUGCUGUCACUUAUAGAUGGAUCCGCGCUGCAUUAGCUAGUUGGUAUGGUAACGGCUUACCAAGGCAACGAUGCAUAGCCGACCUGAGAGGGUGAUCGGCCACACUGGAACUGAGACACGGUCCAGACUCCUACGGGAGGCAGCAGUAGGGAAUCUUCCGCAAUGGGCGAAAGCCUGACGGAGCAACGCCGCGUGAGUGAUGAAGGUCUUCGGAUCGUAAAACUCUGUUAUUAGGGAAGAACAUAUGUGUAAGUAACUGUGCACAUCCUGACGGUACCUAAUCAGAAAGCCACGGCUAACUACGUG
Molecule: ribosomal RNA, 497 nt
Filed under: uncultured bacterium
Lineage: Bacteria
Description: partial 16S ribosomal RNA
Rfam family: Bacterial small subunit ribosomal RNA
Source: RNAcentral